This 2921-nucleotide ribosomal RNA is filed under the name Staphylococcus aureus DAR3165. RNAcentral describes it as "bacterial LSU rRNA". It matches the Rfam family "Bacterial large subunit ribosomal RNA". The record is from RNAcentral. Lineage: Bacteria; Bacillati; Bacillota; Bacilli; Caryophanales; Staphylococcaceae.
UUAAGUUAUUAAGGGCGCACGGUGGAUGCCUUGGCACUAGAAGCCGAUGAAGGACGUUACUAACGACGAUAUGCUUUGGGGAGCUGUAAGUAAGCUUUGAUCCAGAGAUUUCCGAAUGGGGAAACCCAGCAUGAGUUAUGUCAUGUUAUCGAUAUGUGAAUACAUAGCAUAUCAGAAGGCACACCCGGAGAACUGAAACAUCUUAGUACCCGGAGGAAGAGAAAGAAAAUUCGAUUCCCUUAGUAGCGGCGAGCGAAACGGGAAGAGCCCAAACCAACAAGCUUGCUUGUUGGGGUUGUAGGACACUCUAUACGGAGUUACAAAGGACGACAUUAGACGAAUCAUCUGGAAAGAUGAAUCAAAGAAGGUAAUAAUCCUGUAGUCGAAAAUGUUGUCUCUCUUGAGUGGAUCCUGAGUACGACGGAGCACGUGAAAUUCCGUCGGAAUCUGGGAGGACCAUCUCCUAAGGCUAAAUACUCUCUAGUGACCGAUAGUGAACCAGUACCGUGAGGGAAAGGUGAAAAGCACCCCGGAAGGGGAGUGAAAUAGAACCUGAAACCGUGUGCUUACAAGUAGUCAGAGCCCGUUAAUGGGUGAUGGCGUGCCUUUUGUAGAAUGAACCGGCGAGUUACGAUUUGAUGCAAGGUUAAGCAGUAAAUGUGGAGCCGUAGCGAAAGCGAGUCUGAAUAGGGCGUUUAGUAUUUGGUCGUAGACCCGAAACCAGGUGAUCUACCCUUGGUCAGGUUGAAGUUCAGGUAACACUGAAUGGAGGACCGAACCGACUUACGUUGAAAAGUGAGCGGAUGAACUGAGGGUAGCGGAGAAAUUCCAAUCGAACCUGGAGAUAGCUGGUUCUCUCCGAAAUAGCUUUAGGGCUAGCCUCAAGUGAUGAUUAUUGGAGGUAGAGCACUGUUUGGACGAGGGGCCCCUCUCGGGUUACCGAAUUCAGACAAACUCCGAAUGCCAAUUAAUUUAACUUGGGAGUCAGAACAUGGGUGAUAAGGUCCGUGUUCGAAAGGGAAACAGCCCAGACCACCAGCUAAGGUCCCAAAAUAUAUGUUAAGUGGAAAAGGAUGUGGCGUUGCCCAGACAACUAGGAUGUUGGCUUAGAAGCAGCCAUCAUUUAAAGAGUGCGUAAUAGCUCACUAGUCGAGUGACACUGCGCCGAAAAUGUACCGGGGCUAAACAUAUUACCGAAGCUGUGGAUUGUCCUUUGGACAAUGGUAGGAGAGCGUUCUAAGGGCGUUGAAGCAUGAUCGUAAGGACAUGUGGAGCGCUUAGAAGUGAGAAUGCCGGUGUGAGUAGCGAAAGACGGGUGAGAAUCCCGUCCACCGAUUGACUAAGGUUUCCAGAGGAAGGCUCGUCCGCUCUGGGUUAGUCGGGUCCUAAGCUGAGGCCGACAGGCGUAGGCGAUGGAUAACAGGUUGAUAUUCCUGUACCACCUAUAAUCGUUUUAAUCGAUGGGGGGACGCAGUAGGAUAGGCGAAGCGUGCGAUUGGAUUGCACGUCUAAGCAGUAAGGCUGAGUAUUAGGCAAAUCCGGUACUCGUUAAGGCUGAGCUGUGAUGGGGAGAAGACAUUGUGUCUUCGAGUCGUUGAUUUCACACUGCCGAGAAAAGCCUCUAGAUAGAAAAUAGGUGCCCGUACCGCAAACCGACACAGGUAGUCAAGAUGAGAAUUCUAAGGUGAGCGAGCGAACUCUCGUUAAGGAACUCGGCAAAAUGACCCCGUAACUUCGGGAGAAGGGGUGCUCUUUAGGGUUAACGUCCAGAAGAGCCGCAGUGAAUAGGCCCAAGCGACUGUUUAUCAAAAACACAGGUCUCUGCUAAACCGUAAGGUGAUGUAUAGGGGCUGACGCCUGCCCGGUGCUGGAAGGUUAAGAGGAGUGGUUAGCUUCUGCGAAGCUACGAAUCGAAGCCCCAGUAAACGGCGGCCGUAACUAUAACGGUCCUAAGGUAGCGAAAUUCCUUGUCGGGUAAGUUCCGACCCGCACGAAAGGCGUAACGAUUUGGGCACUGUCUCAACGAGAGACUCGGUGAAAUCAUAGUACCUGUGAAGAUGCAGGUUACCCGCGACAGGACGGAAAGACCCCGUGGAGCUUUACUGUAGCCUGAUAUUGAAAUUCGGCACAGCUUGUACAGGAUAGGUAGGAGCCUUUGAAACGUGAGCGCUAGCUUACGUGGAGGCGCUGGUGGGAUACUACCCUAGCUGUGUUGGCUUUCUAACCCGCACCACUUAUCGUGGUGGGAGACAGUGUCAGGCGGGCAGUUUGACUGGGGCGGUCGCCUCCUAAAAGGUAACGGAGGCGCUCAAAGGUUCCCUCAGAAUGGUUGGAAAUCAUUCAUAGAGUGUAAAGGCAUAAGGGAGCUUGACUGCGAGACCUACAAGUCGAGCAGGGUCGAAAGACGGACUUAGUGAUCCGGUGGUUCCGCAUGGAAGGGCCAUCGCUCAACGGAUAAAAGCUACCCCGGGGAUAACAGGCUUAUCUCCCCCAAGAGUUCACAUCGACGGGGAGGUUUGGCACCUCGAUGUCGGCUCAUCGCAUCCUGGGGCUGUAGUCGGUCCCAAGGGUUGGGCUGUUCGCCCAUUAAAGCGGUACGCGAGCUGGGUUCAGAACGUCGUGAGACAGUUCGGUCCCUAUCCGUCGUGGGCGUAGGAAAUUUGAGAGGAGCUGUCCUUAGUACGAGAGGACCGGGAUGGACAUACCUCUGGUGUACCAGUUGUCGUGCCAACGGCAUAGCUGGGUAGCUAUGUGUGGACGGGAUAAGUGCUGAAAGCAUCUAAGCAUGAAGCCCCCCUCAAGAUGAGAUUUCCCAACUUCGGUUAUAAGAUCCCUCAAAGAUGAUGAGGUUAAUAGGUUCGAGGUGGAAGCAUGGUGACAUGUGGAGCUGACGAAUACUAAUCGAUCGAAGACUUAAUCAA